This 1083-nucleotide ribosomal RNA is filed under the name Triticum aestivum (bread wheat). RNAcentral describes it as "partial small subunit ribosomal RNA". The record is from RNAcentral. Lineage: Eukaryota; Viridiplantae; Streptophyta; Magnoliopsida; Poales; Poaceae.
AUGCGGCUCCCGGCCGGGUUCCUUCGCAGGAUGUCAAAGACUCAAAGCCCAAACGCGCCGCCUUGGCCCGCGACCGCCAGCGCCGCCGGCCGGAACGGGCAACCGGCGGCUGGGCGUCUCUCCCCACGGACAUACUCGGCCUCGUCGCCGACCUGGUCCUUGACGCCGCGGAUUACGUGGCCUUCCGCGCCGUCUGCUCCGGCUGGCGCGAGCACGCCCACGCCGCGCGAGCGCGACCCGCGCCUCUGGCCCCGGGACUGGGUGGCGCUCUGCGACGGCGACGCGGUCCGCCCGGAGGACGCGCGGGAGAUCGCCCUGCUCCACACGCGCACGGGCAGGCGAGUCCGCAUCCGCCUGCCGGGGCUACGGGGCUACCGGAUCGUCGGCUUCAGCGACGGCCUCCUCGUCCUCCUGCGCAAGAGCACCACCGCGCUCCGCGUGCUUCACCCCUUGACGCUCGUCGCCGUCGACUUCCCGUCCCUCGCAACCGUGUACCACGAGGAGGUCGCUGACAUGGGCUCUCUCCGGGACAUGAAGGCUGCCGUAUGCAGCAGCAGCAGCAGCAGGGAGCCGUCAACGAGCUCGAUCGCGGCCGUGGUCCUGUUCCCCAACGCCAACGGAAAUGUGGUGGUCGCCGCUGACGGCGGCAAGGACCAUUGGGAGGUCCUCCACCGCCGCCACGAGAAGCUCUCUAUCCGGAACACCUUGCUCUUCCAAGGGAGGCUCUAUGCCACCACUUUCCACCCGCCGUCACCGGAGAUUGUGCAGCUGUACCCUCCCGGACCAACACUCGAUAACAUGGUCGCCACGGUGCCGGGAGCCGUGCGCUAUUCGCGCUACAGUGACACCCUCCACCUUGUGGAGUCCGCCGGACGGAUGCUGCUCGUCGUCCGGCAUGUCAUCGUCCGGGCAAGCACAACCAAGCGUCAACUGCUGACCUUUGCGAUCUACUCGGUGGACUUCGACGACGAGGACAACAACGGCCGCCCGACGCUGACGCCGGUGAGCGGCCUCGGCGACCGCGGCUGUUUCUCGGCGACGGCGGGUGCCUGUCCGUCUCGGCAAGGGACCUCCCUUCGCUGA